Molecule: ribosomal RNA, 482 nt
Filed under: uncultured bacterium
Lineage: Bacteria
Description: partial 16S ribosomal RNA
Rfam family: Bacterial small subunit ribosomal RNA
Source: RNAcentral
GACGAACGCUGGCGGCGUGCUUAACACAUGCAAGUCGAACGCUGAAGCUCAGCUUUUGUUGGGUGGAUGAGUGGCGAACGGGUGAGUAACACGUGAGUAACCUGCCUCCUUCUUUGGGAUAACGCCCGGAAACGGGUGCUAAUACUGGAUAUUCACUGGUCUUCGCAUGGGGGUUGGUGGAAAGGGUUUUUCUGGUGGGGGAUGGGCUCGCGGCCUAUCAGCUUGUUGGUGGGGUGAUGGCCUACCAAGGCUUUGACGGUAGCCGGCCUGAGAGGGUGACCGGUCACAUUGGGACUGAGAUACGGCCCAGACUCCUACGGGAGGCAGCAGUGGGGAAUAUUGCACAAUGGGCGCAAGCCUGAUGCAGCGACGCCGCGUGAGGGAUGGAGGCCUUCGGGUUGUGAACCUCUUUCGCUCAUGGUCAAGCCGCAACAAUGGUUGUGGUGAGGGUAGUGGGUAAAGAAGCGCCGGCUAACUACGUG